This 246-nucleotide ribosomal RNA is filed under the name uncultured Gardnerella sp. RNAcentral's name for it is "partial 16S ribosomal RNA". It matches the Rfam family "Bacterial small subunit ribosomal RNA", at positions 109 to 355 of the family's 1533-position model. The record is from RNAcentral. Lineage: Bacteria; Bacillati; Actinomycetota; Actinomycetes; Bifidobacteriales; Bifidobacteriaceae.
AGUAAUGCGUGACCAACCUGCCCCAUGCUCCAGAAUAGCUCUUGGAAACGUGUGGUAAUGCUGGAUGCUCCAACUUGACGCAUGUCUUGUUGGGAAAGUGUUUAGUGGCAUGGGAUGGGGUCGCGUCCUAUCAGCUUGUAGGCGGGGUAAUGGCCCACCUAGGCUUCGACGGGUAGCCGGCCUGAGAGGGCGGACGGCCACAUUGGGACUGAGAUACGGCCCAGACUCCUACGGGAGGCAGCAGCA